Molecule: ribosomal RNA, 70 nt
Filed under: uncultured Symbiodinium
Lineage: Eukaryota; Dinophyceae; Suessiales; Symbiodiniaceae
Description: partial 5.8S ribosomal RNA
Source: RNAcentral
AACCAAUGACCUCCUGAACGUGCGUUGCACCCUUGGGAUUUCCUGAGAGUAUGUCUGCUUCAGUGCUUAA